UACGUAGGUGGCGAGCGUUGUCCGGAUUUACUGGGCGUAAAGAGCGCGCAGGCGGUCGUUCAAGUCGCGUGUGAAAGCCCCCGGCUCAACUGGGGAGGGUCACGCGAUACUGCGGGGCUAGAGUGCAGAAGGGGCAACUGGAAUUCUCGGUGUAGCGGUGAAAUGCGUAGAUAUCGAGAGGAACACCUGCGGCGAAGGCGGGUUGCUGGGCUGACACUGACGCUGAAGCGCGAAAGCUAGGGGAGCGAACGGG
RNAcentral lists this ribosomal RNA (253 nucleotides) under uncultured bacterium. RNAcentral describes it as "partial 16S ribosomal RNA". It matches the Rfam family "Bacterial small subunit ribosomal RNA", at positions 524 to 776 of the family's 1533-position model. The record is from RNAcentral.